Molecule: ribosomal RNA, 468 nt
Filed under: uncultured bacterium
Lineage: Bacteria
Description: partial 16S ribosomal RNA
Rfam family: Bacterial small subunit ribosomal RNA
Source: RNAcentral
GACGAACGCUGGCGGCGUGCUUAACACAUGCAAGUCGAACGGAAAGGCCCUGCUUUUGUGGGGUGCUCGAGUGGCGAACGGGUGAGUAACACGUGAGUAACCUGCCCUUGACUUUGGGAUAACUUCAGGAAACUGGGGCUAAUACCGUAUAGGAGCUCCUGCUGCAUGGUGGGGGUUGGAAAGUUUCGGCGGUUGGGGAUGGACUCGCGGCUUAUCAGCUUGUUGGUGGGGUAGUGGCUUACCAAGGCAUUGACGGGUAGCCGGCCUGUGAGGGUGACCGGCCACAUUGGGACUGAGAUACGGCCCAGACUCCUACGGGAGGCAGCAGUGGGGAAUAUUGCACAAUGGGCGGAAGCCUGAUGCAGCAACGCCGCGUGCGGGAUGACGGCCUUCGGGUUGUAAACCGCUUUCGCCUGUGACGAAGCGUGAGUGACGGUAAUGGGUAAAGAAGCACCGGCUAACUACGUG